This 680-nucleotide unclassified non-coding RNA is filed under the name Hevea brasiliensis (rubber tree). The record is from RNAcentral. Lineage: Eukaryota; Viridiplantae; Streptophyta; Magnoliopsida; Malpighiales; Euphorbiaceae.
GAAAAACACAGCAGCAACCCUCUCCCCAAAAUCUCUCUUUCUCUUCCUCCCACAUCUGUCACUCUCUCUCUUCGUUCAUUAUCCCUCGGCCAGACCAGCAACGGGAGAUUGUCGGUGAACCUCCGGCGACCAUCAGCAGCAUCGGCACAGGCUCAUUGGGCAGUGAACAGCGGCAGCCAGCGCACUUUUUCGGUGAAACGCGCAAGAAGGAGCCGAAUAAUAUUUUUCCCUUUUUUGGCGAUUCCGAUGUUGGAUCGAAGUCAAACCAACGGCAUUCAACUCUUCUUCCACUGGGCUACCAGAUUCAACCAACCUUGCUCCCUAUCGUUGUAGGAAUUCGACAAAUCAAGGAGAGAAAAAUAGAAACUUCUAGGGCCAAUUCCAUUCAAUCAGACCAUCAAAUCGGCGAUCCAUGACCACCGAUGGACUUAAAGCAAUGAAACCUUCUAGAUGGGACAAAAACCACUCCAAUUGAAUACUGUUUGGAAAAAAUAAUAAUCAGACGAUCCAAAUCUCUUGGUGAGAUUUUCAAGCUUUUUCAAUGCUCGUGAAUUAAAUAUUGAUAAUUAUUAAUAAUUUAUGGAUUUCGUUUAUAUAUGAUCGGAUUGGCUAUAGCUCACUGAAACUCGGAAUUGAGUUUUCAGGCCAGGCUAGGUGCUCAAUGGGCUAUCUCAGAAGGC